This 263-nucleotide unclassified non-coding RNA is filed under the name plant metagenome. RNAcentral describes it as "partial contains small subunit ribosomal RNA, internal transcribed spacer 1, and 5.8S ribosomal RNA". The record is from RNAcentral.
UUUCCGUAGGUGAACCUGCGGAAGGAUCAUUAUUGUAUAACCGAGGUGCGAGGGCUGUCGCUGACCCGAAAGGUCGUGCACGCCCGAGUGCCCUCACACACAUCCAUCUCACCCCUAAGUGCACCACCGCGUGGGUCACCCUUUGGCGUGUUCGGAGGGGGGCUUACGUUUUCACACAAACUUUGUAUGCAGUGUAGAAUGUAUUUUUUGUUUUUGCGAUCACGCAAUCAAUACAACUUUCAACAACGGAUCUCUUGGCUCUC